GCGCACCAGGCGAGAAAACUUUACAAUGCGGGAAACCGCGAUAAGGGGACACCGAGUGCCAGCAUAUUAUGUUGGCUGUCCACAUGUGUAAACGGCAUGUGUUAGCAAGGGCCGGGCAAGACCGGUGCCAGCCGCCGCGGUAACACCGGCGGCCCGAGUGGUAAUCACUUUUAUUGGGUCUAAAGGGUCCGUAGCCGGUUUGAUCAGUUCUUCGGGAAAUCUGACAGCUCAACUGUUAGGCUUCCGGGGAAUACUGUCAGACUUGGGACCGGGAGAGGUAAGAGGUACUACAGGGGUAGGAGUGAAAUCUUGUAAUCCCUGUGGGACCACCAGUGGCGAAGGCGCCUUACCAGAACGGGUCCGACGGUGAGGGACGAAAGCUGGGGGCACGAACCGGAUUAGAUACCCCGGUAGU
This 415-nucleotide ribosomal RNA is filed under the name uncultured microorganism. RNAcentral describes it as "bacterial SSU rRNA". It matches the Rfam family "Archaeal small subunit ribosomal RNA", at positions 330 to 745 of the family's 1478-position model. The record is from RNAcentral.